Molecule: non-coding RNA, 102 nt
Filed under: Bacillus manliponensis
Lineage: Bacteria; Bacillati; Bacillota; Bacilli; Caryophanales; Bacillaceae
Description: TPP sequence
Rfam family: TPP riboswitch aptamer (THI element)
About the family: Vitamin B(1) in its active form thiamin pyrophosphate (TPP) is an essential coenzyme that is synthesised by coupling of pyrimidine and thiazole moieties in bacteria. The previously detected thiamin-regulatory element, thi box was extended, resulting in a new, highly conserved RNA secondary structure, the THI element, which is widely distributed in eubacteria and also occurs in some archaea.
Source: Rfam by way of RNAcentral
UGUUAUCACAGGGGGAGCCUCUUGGCUGAGAGGGAACAUGCCGUUCCGACCCUUUGAACCUGUUAGUUAACGCUAGCGUAGGGAUUGUGUAGAACGAGAAUA